AACGCACCUUGCGCUCCUUGGUAUUCCUCGGAGCAUGCCUGUUUGAGUAUCAUGAAAUUAUCAAAAUAAAUCUUUUGUUCACUCGAUCGAUUUUAUUUUGGACUUGGGGGUCUGCAGAUUCACGUCUGCUCCCCUUGAAUGCAUUAGCUGGAUCACUGUAGACUCGGUUCCACUCGGCGUGAUAAGUAUCACUCGCUGAGGACACUUUUGUAAAAGAAGUGGCCGGGACUAUCAGAGAACCGCUUCCAAUAGUCCAUUUGCUUGGACAAUUACAUUUAUGAUCUGAUCUCAAAUCAGGUAGGACUACCCGCUGAACUUAA
RNAcentral lists this unclassified non-coding RNA (320 nucleotides) under uncultured fungus. RNAcentral describes it as "partial contains 5.8S ribosomal RNA, internal transcribed spacer 2, and large subunit ribosomal RNA". The record is from RNAcentral. Lineage: Eukaryota; Fungi.